GCCCGGGUGGUGGAACUGGUAGACACGGCGGACUCAAAAUCCGCUGGCCGUGAGGCCGUGAGGGUUCGAGUCCCUCCCCGGGUACCG
Molecule: transfer RNA, 87 nt
Filed under: Actinomyces sp.
Lineage: Bacteria; Bacillati; Actinomycetota; Actinomycetes; Actinomycetales; Actinomycetaceae
Description: tRNA-Leu
Rfam family: tRNA
About the family: Transfer RNA (tRNA) molecules are approximately 80 nucleotides in length. Their secondary structure includes four short double-helical elements and three loops (D, anti-codon, and T loops).
Source: RNAcentral